This 93-nucleotide transfer RNA is filed under the name Leptolyngbya sp. Cla-17. It matches the Rfam family "tRNA". Rfam says of the family: Transfer RNA (tRNA) molecules are approximately 80 nucleotides in length. The record is from Rfam by way of RNAcentral. Lineage: Bacteria; Bacillati; Cyanobacteriota; Cyanophyceae; Leptolyngbyales; Leptolyngbyaceae.
GAGGAUGUAGCUCAGAGGACAGAGUGCUUGUUUCCGAGACAAGUGGUCACAGGUACCGCUUCGCGGAAGCAAGCUACGACCCUGUCAUCCUCG